AUACGUAGGGUGCAAGCGUUAAUCGGAAUUACUGGGCGUAAAGCGUGCGCAGGCGGUUUUGUAAGACAGUGGUGAAAUCCCCGGGCUCAACCUGGGAACUGCCAUUGUGACUGCAAGGCUGGAGUGCGGCAGAGGGGGAUGGAAUUUCGCGUGUAGCAGUGAAAUGCGUAGAUAUGCGGAGGAACACCGAUGGCGAAGGCAAUCCCCUGGGCCUGCACUGACGCUCAUGCACGAAAGCGUGGGGAGCAAACAGGAUUAGAUACCCUGGUAGUCCACGCCCUAAACGAUGUCAACUGGUUGUUGGGGACUUUUUUCUCAGUAACGAAGCUAACGCGUGAAGUUGACCGCCUGGGGAGUACGGCCGCAAGGUUAAAACUCAAAUGAAUUGGCGGGG
This 394-nucleotide ribosomal RNA is filed under the name uncultured bacterium. RNAcentral's name for it is "partial 16S ribosomal RNA". It matches the Rfam family "Bacterial small subunit ribosomal RNA", at positions 523 to 918 of the family's 1533-position model. The record is from RNAcentral.